Molecule: unclassified non-coding RNA, 736 nt
Filed under: Hevea brasiliensis (rubber tree)
Lineage: Eukaryota; Viridiplantae; Streptophyta; Magnoliopsida; Malpighiales; Euphorbiaceae
Source: RNAcentral
AGCAGCAAGGCCAUGGAGAAAGCCAGUAAAAAUCAAGCAAUCAAAGAUGCUAUUGGGGAACCAAUUGCUAAAGGUCCAUGGUACAAUGCAUCUCUUGCAGUGGCUCACAAAAGGCAUUCUGUAUCUUGCACAUUUCCUGUGUCUGGACCACGUGGCAAUGGUGUGUUCCAAUUGAAGGCAGUUCGUAAUGGAGAGGACAAUUGGUUUUCGUUUUUCCUUCCUCGUGAUUGGGAAAUCCUAAUAAUGGAAGCUCUCCUUCAUGUUCCUGGUCAUGAGGAAAAGCAGCAAACAAUGCGGAUUAGUCUUUCUGAAAACUACCCAUCUCCAGAUUGCAAGGCAUGCACUUCAUGCCCACAGGGAUCUCAAAAGCCAGAGAACAAAUGAAAAGCUGCACACCAUCAAGUAUGUGGGAACAUUUUUUUCAUUUUUUGGCUCUGUGUUUCACACCAGUUCCUGUUCUUCCAGCAUUAGGAUUAACACAAGUUAGAUCUGAUGUGCUCAUAGAUGUAGUUAAAACUGCUCACCUGGUACAAUUUGGCCUCUUUUCCAAAUCCAGGAUGGAUUUGGUAUUUUCAUUCUAGCAGAUAUUGAAGAGCAACUAACAGUCUAAGAAUCGAGAUAGCUGUAAAUUGUACUUCGAAUUCUGGGUAAAAUUCGGUUGCUCAACUUUGAGAGUUUUUUCAUUUUUCUCAAUUUCAAUUUGUUUAAUAAAAUACUCAACUUUAAUUUUACCCAG